RNAcentral lists this ribosomal RNA (429 nucleotides) under Actinomycetes bacterium. RNAcentral's name for it is "Actinobacteria bacterium partial 16S ribosomal RNA". It matches the Rfam family "Bacterial small subunit ribosomal RNA", at positions 355 to 776 of the family's 1533-position model. Lineage: Bacteria; Bacillati; Actinomycetota; Actinomycetes. The record is from RNAcentral.
UAGGGAAUCUUCCGCAAUGGGCGAAAGCCUGACGGAGCAACGCCGCGUGAGUGAUGAAGGUCUUCGGAUCGUAAAACUCUGUUAUUAGGGAAGAACAAAUGUGUAAGUAACUAUGCACGUCUUGACGGUACCUAAUCAGAAAGGCACGGCUAACUACGUGCCAGCAGCCGCGGUAAUACGUAGGUGGCAAGCGUUAUCCGGAAUUAUUGGGCGUAAAGCGCGCGUAGGCGGUUUUUUAAGUCUGAUGUGAAAGCCCACGGCUCAACCGUGGAGGGUCAUUGGAAACUGGAAAACUUGAGUGCAGAAGAGGAAAGUGGAAUUCCAUGUGUAGCGGUGAAAUGCGCAGAGAAAUGGAGGAACACCAGUGGCGAAGGCGACUUUCUGGUCUGUAACUGACGCUGAUGUGCGAAAGCGUGGGGAUCAAACAGG